Molecule: long non-coding RNA, 749 nt
Filed under: Equus caballus (horse)
Lineage: Eukaryota; Metazoa; Chordata; Mammalia; Perissodactyla; Equidae
Description: lncRNA (ENSECAG00000059142.1)
Source: RNAcentral
CAUCAAUCAAUCAAGCAAUGAUCUUAUUUUUGAGAGUUGGCAUAAUUAUCCAAGGAGUCUGACAAUGUUCCAUUUGGAAUAUUCAAAUGUUCUAUUUGGAAUAUUCAAAUAUUCUAUUUGGAAUAUUCAAAAACAGUAAGACAUCCAUGGAUAAAAGGCAGAAGGUGUCAGGGAAAAGGUGGUUGAUUACAAUAUAUUUUUGUUUUGUUUUUGGAGAGGAAGAAAGUUUGUGAUGGGGGACUAGCAAACUGAUUAAUAUUUUGGAGCUUAUAAAAUGUGUAUGAAAGCUUCCCUCUCUGAGAUAGAUCUAGUUCUGGAUUUUAUCUGAUUUUCAUGACCUGGGGGACUCAUGUGGUCAAGAAAAUUUCCCAAGAUCCUGAUAGUUUAUGUCUUAACUUAUAUUACCUCUGGUCUUUUAGUGCCUCAGCUGUGGAAGGAUGAAAAUAUUCAGAAUGUGGUCGUUUCUGAAGCCAUCACUUUUCCAAAUGCCCUGUUCUUUGAAAGGGGCUGUUAACAAAUGUUGGAGCCAUGAGAAUACAUUAACUGCUGGUGAAUGGAAGGAGUGACUCAAAAGAAAAUUUGCUAUGACAUGUAAAGGUCGCUUUUGGACUUUAAAUUCCAUGAAGUUAAAAAACGUCCUUUAUAGGCCUACAGGUGUAAUACCAACUUAGAAAAAAGUCGCUGAGUUUUCAAUAGGUCAAAAUAAUUUGUUACUAAUUGUGGUUGGGGCAUUUUUAAUUAAAGUGUUU